Molecule: ribosomal RNA, 584 nt
Filed under: Microcaldota archaeon
Lineage: Archaea; Nanobdellati; Microcaldota
Description: bacterial SSU rRNA
Rfam family: Archaeal small subunit ribosomal RNA
Source: RNAcentral
AUUCCAGCUGAUCCUGCUGGCGGAUACUGCUAUCGAAAUCCGAUUUAGCCAUGCAAGUCUUAGGAUGCAAGCGUUGUGUCCUGGCGAACGGCUCAGUAACACGUAGUCAACCUGCCCUAGAAUGGUGGCAAUCCCGGGAAACUGGGGUUAAUCCACCGUAACGAACCAAAACUGGAAUGUUUGGUUUGUAAUAGAAACACUGGAUUGCAAGUGUUUUGUUCUAGGAUGGGACUGCGGCGGAUUAGGUUGUUGGCGGGGUAACUGCCCACCAAGCCAUUGAUCCGUACGGGCGUUGAGAGACGUAGCCCGGAGAAGGGUACUGAGAUAAGGACCCUAGCCCUACGGGGUGCAGCAGUCGCGAAACCUUUACAAUGCGCGAAAGCGUGAUAGGGGGAUCCCAAGUGCCUUACUAAUGGUAAGGCUUUUGCCAAAUGUAAGGAGUUUGGCGAAUAAGAGGUGGGCAAGACCGGUGCCAGCCGCCGCGGUAAUACCGGCGCCUCAAGUGGUAAUCAUUUUUAUUGGGCCUAAAGCGUCCGUAGCCUGUUUGAAAAAUUUCUUGUGAAAUUGUUCAGCUUAACUGAACA